UACGGGGGGGGCAAGCGUUGUUCGGAAUUACUGGGCGUAAAGGGCUCGUAGGCGGCCAACUAAGUCAGACGUGAAAUCCCUCGGCUUAACCGGGGAACUGCGUCUGAUACUGGAUGGCUUGAGGUUGGGAGAGGGAUGCGGAAUUCCAGGUGUAGCGGUGAAAUGCGUAGAUAUCUGGAGGAACACCGGUGGCGAAGGCGGCAUCCUGGACCAAUUCUGACGCUGAGGAGCGAAGGCCAGGGGAGCAAAUGGG
RNAcentral lists this ribosomal RNA (253 nucleotides) under uncultured bacterium. RNAcentral describes it as "partial 16S ribosomal RNA". It matches the Rfam family "Bacterial small subunit ribosomal RNA", at positions 524 to 776 of the family's 1533-position model. The record is from RNAcentral.